AGAGUUUGAUCAUGGCUCAGGAUGAACGCUGGCGGCGUGCCUAACACAUGCAAGUCGAACGGGGUUAAGGGAAAUUUUCGGAUGGAACUUAACUUAGUGGCGGACGGGUGAGUAACGCGUGGAUAACCUGCCUCACACUGGGGGAUAGCAGCUGGAAACGGCUGGUAAUACCGCAUAAGACCCCGGCACCGCAUGGUGCCGAGGUAAAAGAUUUAUCGGUGUGAGAUGGAUCCGCGUCUGAUUAGCCAGUUGGCGGGGUAACGGCCCACCAAAGCGACGAUCAGUAGCCGGCCUGAGAGGGUGAACGGCCACAUUGGGACUGAGACACGGCCCAAACUCCUACGGGAGGCAGCAGUGGGGAAUAUUGCACAAUGGGCGCAAGCCUGAUGCAGCAACGCCGCGUGAGUGAAGAAGUAUUUCGGUAUGUAAAGCUCUAUCAGCAGGGAAGAAAGGCCCGAAAGGGAGAUGACGGUACCUGACUAAGAAGCCCCGGCUAACUACGUGCCAGCAGCCGCGGUAAUACGUAGGGGGCAAGCGUUAUCCGGAUUUACUGGGUGUAAAGGGAGCGCAGACGGCAGUGCAAGUCUGAUGUGAAAGCCCGGGGCUCAACCCCGGAACUGCAUUGGAAACUGUACAGCUUGAGUGUCGGAGAGGUAAGCGGAAUUCCUAGUGUAGCGGUGAAAUGCGUAGAUAUUAGGAGGAACACCGGUGGCGAAGGCGGCUUACUGGACGAUAACUGACGUUGAGGCUCGAAAGCGUGGGGAGCAAACAGGAUUAGAUACCCUGGUAGUCCACGCUGUAAACGAUGAAUACUAGGUGUGGGUGUGCACUGCACAUCCGUGCCGCAGCUAACGCAAUAAGUAUUCCACCUGGGGAGUACGUUCGCAAGAAUGAAACUCAAAUGAAUUGACGG
Molecule: ribosomal RNA, 913 nt
Filed under: uncultured bacterium
Lineage: Bacteria
Description: bacterial SSU rRNA
Rfam family: Bacterial small subunit ribosomal RNA
Source: RNAcentral